This 846-nucleotide ribosomal RNA is filed under the name uncultured bacterium. RNAcentral describes it as "bacterial SSU rRNA". It matches the Rfam family "Bacterial small subunit ribosomal RNA", at positions 8 to 813 of the family's 1533-position model. The record is from RNAcentral.
AGAGUUUGAUCCUGGCUCAGGACGAACGCCCUUUGGCGUGCCUAAUACAUGCAAGUCGAGCGAGCUUGCCUAGAUGAUUUUAGUGCUUGCACUAAAUGAAACUAGAUACAAGCGAGCGGCGGACGGGUGAGUAACACGUGGGUAACCUGCCCAAGAGACUGGGAUAACACCUGGAAACAGAUGCUAAUACCGGAUAACAACACUAGACGCAUGUCUAGAGUUUGAAAGAUGGUUCUGCUAUCACUCUUGGAUGGACCUGCGGUGCAUUAGCUAGUUGGUAAGGUAACGGCUUACCAAGGCAAUGAUGCAUAGCCGAGUUGAGAGACUGAUCGGCCACAUUGGGACUGAGACACGGCCCAAACUCCUACGGGAGGCAGCAGUAGGGAAUCUUCCACAAUGGACGAAAGUCUGAUGGAGCAACGCCGCGUGAGUGAAGAAGGGUUUCGGCUCGUAAAGCUCUGUUGGUAGUGAAGAAAGAUAGAGGUAGUAACUGGCCUUUAUUUGACGGUAAUUACUUAGAAAGUCACGGCUAACUACGUGCCAGCAGCCGCGGUAAUACGUAGGUGGCAAGCGUUGUCCGGAUUUAUUGGGCGUAAAGCGAGUGCAGGCGGUUCAAUAAGUCUGAUGUGAAAGCCUUCGGCUCAACCGGAGAAUUGCAUCAGAAACUGUUGAACUUGAGUGCAGAAGAGGAGAGUGGAACUCCAUGUGUAGCGGUGGAAUGCGUAGAUAUAUGGAAGAACACCAGUGGCGAAGGCGGCUCUCUGGUCUGCAACUGACGCUGAGGCUCGAAAGCAUGGGUAGCGAACAAGAUUAGAUACCCUGGUAGUCCAUGCCGUAAACGAUGAG